Molecule: long non-coding RNA, 1255 nt
Organism: Paramisgurnus dabryanus
Lineage: Eukaryota; Metazoa; Chordata; Actinopteri; Cypriniformes; Cobitidae
Source: RefSeq, a predicted model, not a curated record
UGACGUCAAAGUAUCGCGAGAGCGAGACGAAAUUUGAUUUCUUGAAUCCUUCUCGCGGUACUCUGACGUCAUCCGGCUGUCAGUCUUGCGGCGCCGCAUGAAGUCAAAUAAGCCUCCUGACUGCGUGCGAGAACAUUUUGAAUUAUCUGGCACGAGGCAUCACACGUCAAACUUCAACUGACACAACGGUCUCGGUGAAGGGAAUAAGCAAAAGCUCCUUUAAAUUUCGUCAUUUUUUAUACACAUCCCGUUUAUUUUGUAGUUAAUUGUUAGAUAAGUAAGUAAUUUCGUCAAGUUUUCGUUACAGAGUAAGAUUUCGUUAUCAUCGUUACCAUAUACAGUAUUUAUAUUGGUUCAAGAGCGCAGUUUGAUAACUCAUUCAAGCCUUUAAACAUCUAAACAUGUCCUCCAAAAACGUAAGUUCAGCAGAUCAGCUUAUCUUAUUCUGUAAUAUUGAUACUGGUUUGAGAAAAACUAAGAUUAAACAACGUACAUGUUUCCAGGAAAAAGGGAAAAACACUGGAAAACAAUUUCAGCCUAAGGUUUGAGAUGGCUAACUGUGUACAUUGCCUUUGUGUACUGCAAGCUGAACUUACAGAUUUAUAUGGACUUUACUUACAGGUUUCCUGUGCUGUUUUGCUCCAUUUUACAGAACAAAAUAAGGCUGAGGUAGCACCAUCCUUGUGGUUAGAGUGAAAGAAUGUGGGUAUUGAGACCAAAAUAAAUAAUGUGCCAUUCUGGACAAACAGCUGUGGACAAUACAAGCAGUCAGAGUAGCCCAUUUUUUCACACAGAUGAGGAGCAACCAGUAAGAAAAAGCAAAAAGAUGUUUUGAUGUUGCCUGAGGCACCUUAUUCACAUCACUCAAUUUCUUCCAAUAAUGAAUCAAGAAAUCCUGGAGUGGAGAAUCAUUCUGAAAGUAGACCAAAUACAGGACAACACCACAGCAGUGGUUGGAAAAAUGCAGCAGACAAUGAGCAAACCAAGCUGACUUUCAAAAGAUGAUUCGUUAUCUGUUUCUUCAAAGGGGAGGCAGUUUGGGAGAUGGGAAAUAGGAGGAUGCUUCAGCUACACAGGGCGAAUUUCAGCAGCUCAGUUUCACACUUGCAACUAACAAUGAAUUAUAGUUAGAAGACAACGGAAAUAUUUGACAUGGGAGUCCAGCAGACAGCCAGAGACACGCACACACACGGAGCUGAAGCGCGUUUGACUGACGCGUACGGGAGAUCAGGCACGGGAGCUCGCUCGCGCACGC